RNAcentral lists this ribosomal RNA (361 nucleotides) under uncultured Chloroflexota bacterium. Its description in RNAcentral is "bacterial SSU rRNA". It matches the Rfam family "Bacterial small subunit ribosomal RNA", at positions 960 to 1332 of the family's 1533-position model. The record is from RNAcentral. Lineage: Bacteria; Bacillati; Chloroflexota.
AACGAAGAACCUUACCCAGGCUUGACAUGCAGCUGCACACGGGGGAAACGUCGUUGCCUUCGAGGGUGCUGCACAGGUGCUGCAUGGUUGUCGUCAGCUCGUGUCGUGAGAUGUUGGGUUAAGUCCCGAAACGAGCGCAACCCCUGCUGGUAGUUACAUGUGUCUACCAGGACGGAUMMCUUUGAUGGGGGAAGGAAGGCGGGGAUGACGUCAAAUCAGCAUGGCCCUUACGCCUGGGGCGACACACACGCUACAAUGGCCGGGACAGUGCGUCGCGAACCCGCAAGGGGAGCAAAUCGUCCAAACCCGCUCUCAGUGCAAGAUCGGGGGCUGCAACUCGCCCCCGUGAAGCGGAGUUCUA